AGCCUCCGCAUUUUACGGGCCCUGCUACGGUUUUCCAACCCUGAAACAAAGAGUGAUGAAAAUAUUUCAUCUUUUUAUCAUUUUCUCCUUUGCUGUUUGCUCCAAUUCAACUUGGAGAGCGCCGCCAUGAAGAAACCCUAGGCCGAGUUGGAAAGGCACUUUUUGGUUACUGUUGUUAAUGAUUUGUUGAAGAUUUUUCCACAGGAAAACAUCUGGUACACAGGAGCAGACAAGGAGGCAAGGACUGGAUGCAAGAUGGACAGAAGCAUACAGAUGAAACAAGGGAAACAACUAGGACUCGUCAUUCAGGCAAUGACGAGUCACCCUUCUUUAUGUGUACUUACUUUUAUUUUGCAUCUGCAAAUAUGUUAUGUUUUCCUCAUCUGCUCUAUGACAGUUAGUCUCACGGCUUGUGUGAGACAUUGUACAUUCUCAUUCGUAUUAAUAAAGAUUACCUUUUUGGCAAAAAA
This is a long non-coding RNA of Cryptomeria japonica (Japanese cedar), 470 nucleotides long. RefSeq lists it as uncharacterized. The transcript has 2 exons. NCBI's taxonomy places the organism in Eukaryota, Viridiplantae, Streptophyta, Pinopsida, Cupressales, Cupressaceae. The record is from RefSeq and is a predicted model, not a curated record.